AUCAUUUCUCGGCGCUGCACUGAGUGACUGCGUGUUCCCGCCCCAGUGGAUACGAACGGGGAGAACUACUUUGGCACAACACCUGACUUCUCUACGCUCUUCUACUGAUUCCAAGAUUGUCCCAACUUCAUUGGGAUUGGGGUUGUACAUGGACAUAGCUUCACUUUGUGAACUAGGAGAUAUUAAUGGUCCAGUCCACGCCAAAGGACCGUGUGCUGCCCCACGGAAAAUGGCACGUUAAGGGGGAACUAAUAACUGCACACUGUGAAACGGCGGACAUGGGUCCUGGUCUUGAAUCAUCAGGCAAACAUGCAGCCAUUGUUGGUGAUUAAAGAAGAAAGUCUCCCUGAACACCAGGAAUGGAAUCUGAGUGUUGAUCAGGAGGACAUUGAAGAAGAUGAGAAGCUGUGGAUUAGUCAGCAGGGCAUGCACCUUCACCAGCUGGAGGAUGCAGAUCUCACCAAGUUUGGUUUCACUGCCGAUCCUGUGAAGAGUGAAAAUGAUGAUGAAAAACCAGAGUCAUCACAGCUACAUCAAAGCCGAAGUGA
This is a long non-coding RNA of Thalassophryne amazonica, 548 nucleotides long. RefSeq lists it as uncharacterized. The transcript has 3 exons. NCBI's taxonomy places the organism in Eukaryota, Metazoa, Chordata, Actinopteri, Batrachoidiformes, Batrachoididae. The record is from RefSeq and is a predicted model, not a curated record.